RNAcentral lists this ribosomal RNA (1443 nucleotides) under Triticum aestivum (bread wheat). RNAcentral describes it as "partial small subunit ribosomal RNA". The record is from RNAcentral. Lineage: Eukaryota; Viridiplantae; Streptophyta; Magnoliopsida; Poales; Poaceae.
AUGUCACCCAGGAUCAGAAUUGUUGCUCCUAGUUCCGGUGUACUGAAGAUGGAGACUUCAGACAAAAAUGGGUAUCAGUUGAUGGAAGUUGCCUACCACAUGGACUUUGAUGGUUGCAUCAACCUAACUACUGGGUGGAAGGAGUUUGUGGCAGAGGCUGGAUUUGAGGAUGGUGAUGUGGUUAUGGCUGGACUCGCUAGGGUUCCUUUGCUCUUGAACGAGCGGUUGGCGACAGUGAUACUCGAUGUUGGGAGUGCCGUUAAUGAUAGCCAUGGUGCUCCUGAGGACAUUGCUGAUGUUGUCAAAGAUAUUAAUGAUGGAAUGUAUUCUCUUAACGUUGAUGAUGUUGAUGGCAGCUUGCAGUUGUCUGUUACGCAGUCACAGAAUGUUGAUGGCACUGAGCAUGUUACUCAGGUUGAGGAUGUUCCUAUGCACAAAUCUGAUGGGGAUAGUGUUGCUGUGAAGAUUGGUCCAAGCAAACUUGGUGGCUCCCCUGUUCGUCGGAGUCCAUGGGUUUUGACAAAUAAGAAGCCUUCUUCGUCUCCUCUUCUAGAGCGCUCUUUGUUGAAACAAAAUAAUAAGCGUAAAGUUCAUCCUGCGAAGGUGAACAAAAGUGUGAAGAAGCGUGCUCGUGUCGAAGCUAAAGAUGUUGUAUCUGAAGAACAUGAUAUCAAAGUUGAUUCUGAAGAUGAAUUUGCAGUGCCUGUUAGCGUUAUGAGUCCGGUCAAGCCGGUGGGAGGCAAUGCCGGAAAAGUUGCCUUGGAUGAAGAUCCUGAUACGAUGACUCUUGACAUGGGUGAGGCUAAUAAGAAGCUUCGCAUCACUAGCGAUGGUAUACAACAAUUAUUUGGGUUCCCUCGUGGUGGUCGUUCUGUGCCAAGACCGUCAGAGGACGGAUAUGACGACGCUCUGAUGAAGUUAAGAUCGGAGCUUGACAUUAGCAGGAACAAAGAUAUCAAGACAAAGGAUUUGAGGAAUAAGCUCAAGGUGCUCGUCAAGGAUCCUAUCAAAGAUGACCUUGCUCUGAAAGUGUUCUUCAUUAUUGUGUUUAUGAAGGUUGUGUUGCCUGGUGCCGCCCCGCGUGUUUCCGGAGAGGCAGCUAUGUUGGAGGGUCUCGUCUUUGAGGAACUGGCUAAUAUGGAUUAUUGCCAGCUGAUGGUUGAUGAGCUUAGAAGGGCUCUUGCCAAGUACCAAGAUGGUGCUACCCUUGGGAAGGCAAUCACAGGCUGUGGUAUAGGUCCUGUACUAAUGUACCUUGACUGGCUUAUCCGUGGCAAGACUGCGGAGCCUGACAUGCGAGUCCCCCGCAUAUGUUUCAUGGAUCCUGUCAAGCUUUUUGAUCUGGUUGAUGCAGAUUUGAUAAAAAAAGGCAAUGCAGAUCCAAAGACUUGGGUGUUUGGGAAGCUUCCGUGGAAAACUCAAGAGGAGGUUGUUUUUUUCUGA